UGGGGAAUAUUGCACAAUGGGCGAAAGCCUGAUGCAGCGACGCCGCGUGAGGGAUGACGGCCUUCGGGUUGUAAACCUCUUUCAGCAGGGAAGAAGCGAAAGUGACGGUACCUGCAGAAGAAGCGCCGGCUAACUACGUGCCAGCAGCCGCGGUAAUACGUAGGGCGCAAGCGUUGUCCGGAAUUAUUGGGCGUAAAGAGCUCGUAGGCGGUUAGUCGCGUCUGCUGUGAAAACUCGAGGCUCAACCUCGGGCUUGCAGUGGGUACGGGCUGACUAGAGUGCGGUAGGGGUGACUGGAAUUCCUGGUGUAGCGGUGGAAUGCGCAGAUAUCAGGAGGAACACCGAUGGCGAAGGCAGGUCACUGGGCCGCAACUGACGCUGAGGAGCGAAAGCAUGGGGAGCGAACAGGAUUAGAUACCCUGGUAGUCCAUGCCGUAAACGUUGGGCACUAGGUGUGGGUCCAUUCCACGGAUUCCGUGCCGCAGCAAACGCAUUAAGUGCCCCGCCUGGGGAGUACGGCCGCAAGGCUAAAACUUAAAGGAAUUGAC
RNAcentral lists this ribosomal RNA (548 nucleotides) under uncultured bacterium. RNAcentral describes it as "partial 16S ribosomal RNA". It matches the Rfam family "Bacterial small subunit ribosomal RNA", at positions 355 to 914 of the family's 1533-position model. The record is from RNAcentral.